GACGAACGCUGGCGGCGUGCUUAACACAUGCAAGUCGAACGGAAAGGCCCUGCUUUUGUGGGGUGCUCGAGUGGCGAACGGGUGUGUAACACGUGAGUAACCUGCCCUUGACUUUGGGAUAACUUCAGGAAACUGGGGCUAAUACCGGAUAGGAGCUCCUGCUGCAUGGUGGGGGUUGGAAAGUUUCGGCGGUUGGGGAUGGACUCGCGGCUUAUCAGCUUGUUGGUGGGGUAGUGGCUUACCAAGGCUUUGACGGGUAGCCGGCCUGAGAGGGUGACCGGCCACAUUGGGACUGAGAUACGGCCCAGACUCCUACGGGAGGCAGCAGUGGGGAAUAUUGCACAAUGGGCGGAAGCCUGAUGCAGCAACGCCGCGUGCGGGAUGACGGCCUUCGGGUUGUAAACCGCUUUCGGCUGUGACGAAGCGUGAGUGACGGUAAUGGGUAAAGAAGCGCCGGCUAACUACGUG
Molecule: ribosomal RNA, 468 nt
Filed under: uncultured bacterium
Lineage: Bacteria
Description: partial 16S ribosomal RNA
Rfam family: Bacterial small subunit ribosomal RNA
Source: RNAcentral